Molecule: ribosomal RNA, 886 nt
Filed under: Diplodia seriata
Lineage: Eukaryota; Fungi; Ascomycota; Dothideomycetes; Botryosphaeriales; Botryosphaeriaceae
Description: LSU rRNA
Rfam family: Eukaryotic large subunit ribosomal RNA
Source: RNAcentral
AGCAUAUCAAUAAGCGGAGGAAAAGAAACCAACAGGGAUUGCCUUAGUAACGGCGAGUGAAGCGGCAACAGCUCAAAUUUGAAAGCUGGCCCUUUCAGGGUCCGCAUUGUAAUUUGUAGAGGAUGAUUCGGCGAGGGCUCCCGCCUAAGUCCCCUGGAACGGGGCGUCAUAGAGGGUGAGAAUCCCGUAUGCGGUGGGCUGCCUUAGCCAUGUGAAUCUCCUUCGACGAGUCGAGUUGUUUGGGAAUGCAGCUCUAAAUGGGAGGUAAAUUUCUUCUAAAGCUAAAUACCGGCCAGAGACCGAUAGCGCACAAGUAGAGUGAUCGAAAGAUGAAAAGCACUUUGGAAAGAGAGUUAAAAAGUACGUGAAAUUGUUGAAAGGGAAGCGCUUGCAACCAGACUUGUCCGCAGUUGCUCAGCCGGUCUCCUGACCGGCGUACUCUUCUGCGGCCAGGCCAGCAUCAGUUCGGGCGGUCGGAUAAAGACCUCGGGAAUGUAGCUCCUCUCGGGGAGUGUUAUAGCCCGGGGUGGAAUGCGGCCAGCCUGGACUGAGGAUCUCGCUUCGGCAAGGAUGCUGGCGUAAUGGUUGUAAGCGGCCCGUCUUGAAACACGGACCAAGGAGUCUAACAUCUAUGCGAGUGUUUGGGUGUCAAACCCAUACGCGUAAUGAAAGUGAACGGAGGUGGGAACCCGCAAGGGUGCACCAUCGGCCGAUCCUGAUGUCUUCGGAUGGAUUUGAGCAAGAGCAUAGCUGUUGGGACCCGAAAGAUGGUGAACUAUGCCUGAAUAGGGUGAAGCCAGAGGAAACUCUGGUGGAGGCUCGCAGCGGUUCUGACGUGCAAAUCGAUCGUCAAAUUUGGGUAUAGGGGCGAAAGACUAAUCGAACC